This 628-nucleotide long non-coding RNA is filed under the name Bos taurus (domestic cattle). RNAcentral describes it as "long non-coding RNA NONBTAT023987". Lineage: Eukaryota; Metazoa; Chordata; Mammalia; Artiodactyla; Bovidae. The record is from RNAcentral.
UAAGAAUAAAAGUAAGUUAUUUGCUAGCUUCAGAGAACCCUCUAAGUAAUAUCAUUAAAGAUCAUCAAACCAAUCCCGUUGUUCAAGUUGAGGCUGUUAUUUCACUUUCAAGUUACUAAGAUCAAGGAGGGUAACGUUCUUAUAAUAGACACUCAGCUCGUUUCCCCCGGAUAACUUGUUCAGCCGUAUUCUUAUCAGAAUUGGGAACAUAAGGUUAAUCAUUAAUUAUUUUGAGGCCUGGACACCUUGCGAAUGUUUAACGUUUCUCUUACAAUGCCGUUGUAGCUGAUUUUGUUAUAGCUGGUUAUUUUUUCAGAAGUAGACAAUUGCCUUGCGAAAAUCAGGAGGCCUUUUUGGCCUGAGGUCAUCAAAGUAUUGCUCCAUCUGUGCUGAACUAAUUGUCCCAAAGGGACACUUUCCCAAACACUUAACUUACUCUUGGUUGUGGUUAGAGUGUAGUUAUAAUAGCCAUUGCAUGGUGGUUAAAACAGAUUCAGUCUUGAUGAAAGGUGAGGCAGCGGCAAGACAGACUUUGUAUAUCAUAGUUCUUAUUUGCAAAGGUCCUUUCAUGUGGCUCGCGCAUUGCUCCCUUAUGCAUAUGCUGACUUGUCUUUAAUCUGCUUAUCUG